Molecule: long non-coding RNA, 1386 nt
Organism: Nematostella vectensis (starlet sea anemone)
Lineage: Eukaryota; Metazoa; Cnidaria; Anthozoa; Actiniaria; Edwardsiidae
Exons: 2
Source: RefSeq, a predicted model, not a curated record
UUACUGCAAUUCCUUGGGGUUCAAUACGGGGACUUUUGGGGAUCGUUUCGGGUCCCGGGAUCAGUUGGGGAACUUUUGGGGAUCGUUUCGGGUCCUUGGAUCAUUUCGGGUCCUGUACAGACCUCUUUCGUAGGAGGAAAGUGAAAUAUUACCAUACUUGAAAUGUUUUUUUUUCUACAGUGUUAUUUAUUUUAAAAACUCGAUAAAAAUAUAUCGAAUAGUUCACUGGAAUACGAUGUUUUUGUAUUAAAAAUUAAUAUUUACAUCUAAGGAAUAAACAACCACCACAAAUUACAUAAAGAAAGCGAACUGUCUGUGGAAUAUAAUUAUAGAACGGAUUUUUCAAUUCUAUUAUGGUGAGAAAGAGUUGCUAAAAGACUGGGGGAUCUUAUAAGGAAUUAUUCCUAAUCAGUCUUGACUGCUUAAUAAAUGCUUUGAAGUUAAACCUUGAUUAUUAAAACUUAGAAUUUCUAUGGUCUAUUUCUCAUAAACCAGUUUUUCAUAAAAGUAUUGUUGUGAAGUUGAUUAUGAAGAAAGCCCCAGUGCCCUAGUAAAGUGGUUUUCAUAAACCUGUGAAGCAAAGUGUAGCGUUAUUUAAAAAAAAAAAAAUAGUGUGUAGAAGUGCUAAAAUAAGCUACUUAUUAUUUGGCAGUAGCAAUUUUUUUCUCUGGUACAUGAAGAUAAAUAAUGUUAUUUAGAAGGCUAUAGUAAAGUUUUGAGUGCCCUUGUAAAGUGUUUACCACAAACCUAUGAAGGAGAGUGUAGUUUUUAGGCCAGCACACACAAAAAAUACAUUAGAGUGUACGAGUGCUAAAUAAGCUACAGUGUUUCAAAAGGGUUUGAAAAAACAUUGUAAAAAUGAAUUAUUUGGCAGCAGCCAAUUUUUCUCAGAGAGACGAAGAUGAAUAUGCUUCAAUCUUAGGGUGUCUGGGGUCAUGUUUUCCAGGAAAAUCUAAGUUUUUUUAGGCCCUAUCUUGCUUUUUAGGCUACAACUAUUGAUAUUCAAUCACUCACAUACCUGUUUCGGCAUAAAUCUAUUACAUAAGUGACAAGUGACAGUUUCGUUAAUAUCGAUUUCAACCACGUGAUUAUAAUCCAUUGUAAAUCAGUCAGAUCAACAGUAACCGAGAUCGGAACUCUGAAAUACAGCUAACCAGUACGAUUACAAAACCUACAGCUAACCAGGACUUUGAGAAUCAGAAAACACGAUCGGAUACGCCACAGAAAUCGAAUAAAUAUAUCUUUACACAUCGUUGGAUUGUUAUACGGUUUGUGGCGAAAUCCUCACGGGAACCUAACGCAACAAUACCUUCUGAGCUUGUUGUGGUGUAGGAAUCCAUUUCAAGUGAUCUGUGGUAACUGACAAAAUAAAAUGUUAUUUUUGUA